Molecule: small RNA, 27 nt
Filed under: Bombyx mori (domestic silkworm)
Lineage: Eukaryota; Metazoa; Arthropoda; Insecta; Lepidoptera; Bombycidae
Description: ovarian small RNA-33378
Source: RNAcentral
UGCAAGUACAAUGUUAUCCGGUAUGGU